Molecule: ribosomal RNA, 467 nt
Filed under: uncultured bacterium
Lineage: Bacteria
Description: partial 16S ribosomal RNA
Rfam family: Bacterial small subunit ribosomal RNA
Source: RNAcentral
ACGAACGCUGGCGGCGUGCUUAACACAUGCAAGUCGCACGGAAAGGCCCUGCUUUUGUGGGGUGCUCGAGUGGCGAACGGGUGAGUAACACGUGAGUAACCUGCCCUUGACUUUGGGAUAACUUCAGGAAACUGGGGCUAAUACCGGAUAGGAGCUCCUGCUGCAUGGUGGGGGUUGGAAAGUUUCGGCGGUUGGGGAUGGACUCGCGGCUUAUCAGCUUGUUGGUGGGGUAGUGGCUUACCAAGGCUUUGACGGGUAGCCGGCCUGAGAGGGUGACCGGCCACAUUAGGACUGAGAUACGGCCCAGACUCCUACGGGAGGCAGCAGUGGGGAAUAUUGCACAAUGGGCGGAAGCCUGAUGCAGCAACGCCGCGUGCGGGAUGACGGCCUUCGGGUUGUAAACCGCUUUCGCCUGUGACGAAGCGUGAGUGACGGUAAUGGGUAAAGAAGCACCGGCUAACUACGUG